Molecule: transfer RNA, 66 nt
Filed under: Tritia grana
Lineage: Eukaryota; Metazoa; Mollusca; Gastropoda; Neogastropoda; Nassariidae
Description: tRNA-His
Rfam family: tRNA
About the family: Transfer RNA (tRNA) molecules are approximately 80 nucleotides in length. Their secondary structure includes four short double-helical elements and three loops (D, anti-codon, and T loops).
Source: RNAcentral
GUCAAGUUAGUUUAAUAAAAACAUCAGCCUGUGGAUUUGAAAAUGAAAAUCUAAUUUCACUUGACC